AUCCUUUUGCAGUUAUGCAUAAUGACUGGGUUUUCACGCUUAUGAAUGAGAUGUGCCUCCCUCAAACAUUGUUAUAUGUCAGUAUAUUAUGCAUCUGACA
This is a small nucleolar RNA of Pongo abelii (Sumatran orangutan), 100 nucleotides long. Lineage: Eukaryota; Metazoa; Chordata; Mammalia; Primates; Hominidae. The record is from Ensembl.